Molecule: ribosomal RNA, 519 nt
Filed under: uncultured Glomus
Lineage: Eukaryota; Fungi; Glomeromycota; Glomeromycetes; Glomerales; Glomeraceae
Description: SSU rRNA
Rfam family: Eukaryotic small subunit ribosomal RNA
Source: RNAcentral
AGCAGCCGCGGUAAUUCCAGCUCCAAUAGCGUAUAUUAAAGUUGUUGCAGUUAAAAAGCUCGUAGUUGAAUUUCGGGGUCAGCAGGUUGGUCGUGCCAAUGGUAUACACUGGCCUUGGUGAUUCCUCCCUCUUGUAGAACCGUAAUGCCAUUAAGUUGGUGUUGCGGGGAAACAGGACUGUUACUUUGAAAAAUUAGAGUGUUUAAAGCAGGCUAACGCCUGAAUACAUUAGCAUGGAAUAAUGAAAUAGGACGAUCGAUCCUAUUUUGUUGGUUUCUAGGAUUGACGUAAUGAUUAAUAGGGAUAGUUGGGGGCAUUAGUAUUCAAUUGUCAGAGGUGAAAUUCUUGGAUUUAUUGAAGACUAACUACUGCGAAAGCAUUUGCCAAGGAUGUUUUCAUUAAUCAAGAACGAAAGUUAGGGGAUCGAAGACGAUCAGAUACCGUCGUAGUCUUAACCAUAAACUAUGCCGACUAGGGAUCGGAUGAUGUAAUUUUUAAUGACUCAUUCGGCGCCUUAAC